GUAGUCAUAUGCUUGUCUCAAAGAUUAAGCCAUGCAUGUCUAAGUAUAAGCAAUUAUACAGCGAAACUGCGAAUGGCUCAUUAUAUAAGUUAUCGUUUAUUUGAUAGUACCUUACUACUUGGAUAACCGUGGUAAUUCUAGAGCUAAUACAUGCUAAAAAUCCCGACUUCGGAAGGGAUGUAUUUAUUAGAUUAAAAACCAAUGCCCUCUGGGCUCUUUGGUGAUUCAUGAUAACUUCUCGAAUCGCACGGCCUUGCGCCGGCGAUGGUUCAUUCAAAUUUCUUCCCUAUCAACUUUCGAUGUUUGGGUAUUGGCCAAACAUGGUUGCAACGGGUAACGGAGGGUUAGGGCUCGACCCCGGAGAAGGAGCCUGAGAAACGGCUACUACAUCCAAGGAAGGCAGCAGGCGCGCAAAUUACCCAAUCCCGACACGGGGAGGUAGUGACAAUAAAUACUGAUACAGGGCUCUUUUGGGUCUUGUAAUUGGAAUGAGUACAAUUUAAAUCCCUUAACGAGGAACAAUUGGAGGGCAAGUCUGGUGCCAGCAGCC
Molecule: ribosomal RNA, 550 nt
Filed under: Lecanicillium sp. ZJLSP07
Lineage: Eukaryota; Fungi; Ascomycota; Sordariomycetes; Hypocreales; Cordycipitaceae
Description: SSU rRNA
Rfam family: Eukaryotic small subunit ribosomal RNA
Source: RNAcentral